UUGCCCAAACUGCUGCAGACAAGCUGUCCAGUCACAGUGGGACCCUAAAUGUUGUCCAAAUCCUGUGGUAACAAGCCUGAACGUAGUUAAAGCAUGCAAAACAUUUUGGGGAACCAUGCCAAAUGAGGGGCAACAGCAGUUGCUAAACAAUGCUUUGGAUGUCGAAAAGUGCAAAGACGAGCCAUUGGCAACUGAUUAUAACACAACGCUAAAACGAUCAGACCUGUG
RNAcentral lists this long non-coding RNA (228 nucleotides) under Sinocyclocheilus grahami. RNAcentral's name for it is "lncRNA (ENSSGRG00000038593.1)". Lineage: Eukaryota; Metazoa; Chordata; Actinopteri; Cypriniformes; Cyprinidae. The record is from RNAcentral.